Molecule: ribosomal RNA, 236 nt
Filed under: uncultured Staphylococcus sp.
Lineage: Bacteria; Bacillati; Bacillota; Bacilli; Caryophanales; Staphylococcaceae
Description: partial 16S ribosomal RNA
Rfam family: Bacterial small subunit ribosomal RNA
Source: RNAcentral
CGGGUGAGUAACACGUGGAUAACCUACCUAUAAGACUGGGAUAACUUCGGGAAACCGGAGCUAAUACCGGAUAAUAUUUUGAACCGCAUGGUUCAAAAGUGAAGACGGUCUUGCUGUCACUUAUAGAUGGAUCCGCGCUGCAUUAGCUAGUUGGUAAGGUAACGGCUUACCAAGGCAACGAUGCAUAGCCGACCUGAGAGGGUGAUCGGCCACACUGGAACUGAGACACGGUCCAG